This 73-nucleotide transfer RNA is filed under the name Candidatus Iainarchaeum sp. RNAcentral's name for it is "tRNA-Gln". It matches the Rfam family "tRNA". From Rfam's summary of the family: Transfer RNA (tRNA) molecules are approximately 80 nucleotides in length. Their secondary structure includes four short double-helical elements and three loops (D, anti-codon, and T loops). Further hydrogen bonds mediate the characteristic L-shaped molecular structure. tRNAs have two regions of fundamental functional importance: the anti-codon, which is responsible for specific mRNA codon recognition, and the 3' end, to which the tRNAs corresponding amino acid is attached (by aminoacyl-tRNA synthetases). tRNAs cope with the degeneracy of the genetic code in two manners: having more than one tRNA (with a specific anti-codon) for a particular amino acid; and 'wobble' base-pairing, i.e. permitting non-standard base-pairing at the 3rd anti-codon position. Lineage: Archaea; Nanobdellati; Candidatus Iainarchaeota; Candidatus Iainarchaeia; Candidatus Iainarchaeales; Candidatus Iainarchaeaceae. The record is from RNAcentral.
AGCCCCGUCGUAUAGUGGCCAAGUAUACGGGCCUUUGAAGCCUGUGACGUGAGUUCGAUUCUCACCGGGGCUA